GAUAGCAAAUGCUUAUUUUAAAGCCUUUAGCACUUUACAAACAUGCCCGGACUUUCAAAAUAGUGGUUACCAUUUUGUUCCAUGAUACUGUGUCUGUCUUCUGUGAAACCCCACCACAUUCAAUAGCCAUAUGUAUGUUAAUGAAAGAAUAAUCAUGACAACUAAUAGCAUACACGAGCCAUGUCAGCGCUCGACCAUCAGAGCAAAUGAAAACAAAACUGCGUACAGACAAUAUGAAUCAAGAUCUGAAGCUUCAUGGUUCUUAACCAGUUUUAUGUUAAUGAAACAAUUAUUAGAACACACAAAACCCUUCCUUUUUAAUUUGAUAAAUUGAGUGGUGAUGUGAGUUAAUUGAACCAUUGGUGAGAUAAUAAGAUGCAAUUGGUAUGAUUUAUCAGAGGAUGACAUGGUUACAGGCAUUGCUUCCACAGAAAAUAAUGGCUGCUAUUACCACUUCCUGAGGUGAGCAGGUAAGCCAUAAACCUAGGUUAUUGCUACAUAGGUCAGGAAGAUGAGGGUCCAUUUUGACUUUCAUCCAAGUGAAUAUUUUAAGGCUGUGUUUUUAGAGGCAUGCAUACCAAUUUUGUACUUGUUUUCCAUUUUUCAUAAACAGUGUCAAUACUGAGUUUGUUUAGGCUAUUCCAUAAUCUUAAUCUACUUAGCUAGGUAUUGAAGAGAAAAAAAAAAACAUGUUUCCAAGAGUUUUGAGUUCUAAUGUGGGUAAUUAAAGGGUCAUCAUGGGUUGUUCUAAGUCAUGUUAUCUUGUAGAGACAUUUUCACAAGCUGUUAUUUUAGCAGAAUAAUCCUCUAGGGUUCUGCAGCUUAAAACGCAGGGCCUAUGCUUUUUCAUAUGUGAUUCAGAGAGAAUAUUACAUGCUACCCACCUUCUAGUGGGGGAGAAAGAAACGAUCACAAAGCCUGUUGGAGUGUACCAAAAAAAAUAGCACUCACAUUGCUAUAUUUUUUAUAUCUUAAAUGACCUCAAAAUUUUUAAAAGUAAAAUCAGUGUCAUUGAAUAUAGGAGACGAUAUAGUUCUACCAUGUAAAGAUACUGUAAAAACACUUAGCAUAUAUGUUCACACUGUGAAAAAUUAAUCCAGGAUCAGGGAAUAAGCUUGUGCCUAUGCUGGGAAGGAUAUAUCUUAAACUAUCAAUUAAACCUCCAUUCUUCAGUAAUUUUAUAUUCAUUUGUUGAAUUUCUUGUUUUAAAAUUCCAUUUAUACACAUCUUGGCAUUUUUUGUGUGUGUGAACACACAUACACGAUAGUUUAAUUCUUACAACCACUUCUGAUGUCAGUAUGAUAAAUCCAAGUUUUGAAGAUGAAGUAAGAUGUGCAGUGGUCACACUGAUGAUAAAUAAUGAGAAACUGUUGAGAGGGAAAGACAGGACAAAUCAAGGACAACAAGUGUGCACUAGGACUGCUCUGGGAUCUGAAAAUACAGUGACCCUAGGUGAAAGACUCAUAAAAAUUAAGACGUUUUACCAAGGUAAUAGUGCAAGAAAGGGGCAGAGCUGCAUUUGGUUCCAUGUCUUUAGGACUUCACAUUUUUUCCUACACUUUCCCAGUAGAUUUGGUGAUUUUCUUGACAUGAUUAGAUGGAGGCAAGUCAGAGAGGCUUCCUGCAAUAUACCAGUGCUAAAGGGGAUGCCAGGUCUUGUUUAUCUCUGUGUAUCUAACUUGAAACACAUCAGGUCUUCAAUAAACACUUGUGGGUCUGAACCAGAUUGUACUGCUUGACACCUCCUCGCUUAGGAUGCAUUCCCGUUCCUUUAGAUGGUAAGGAUUUUUCGAUCUUUGAGAAUCAGUGAAUGAUUAGAACAGUAUAAACAUAAACCCAAGGAGAUAUAUAAUCAGACUGGCCAUCCCUUCAUUUCAAUUAAUCUUGGUUUCCAACAAUCUGGGCAGAAAUUCCUCCCCCCCAAAAAAAAAUGAUGCUGACUGUCAGAGAAUUUCUAGGCUUAGAAGGGAACAGAACACUGUCUAGGGAGGUAGCCAAAGAGUAGCACUGGUCUCUUUCUCAUUCUUGAGAUGGUCAAUCUCAUGCCAGUUUUUUCUUUGUCCAUUUUCACACCUUCACUGGUCACACAUUCAAUGCAAUUUGGAACAUUUUCCUUUUAUAGGACCAACUGGUUGACAAAAAGCUUAAAUUGGGUUAAUCACAUUAAACAAUGAAACAUCAUCUGUAAAUGAGGAGCUAGGAAGAGGCCACUCUUGGUACGACAUUCGGCCACUGCCUAAUAAGAUAGGGAAAAGAUUAAGGAAAACAAACCAGGCGUUAUAAUCAUGAUACAUGGAAUAAAACCACAUCCACAUCAGUAACUUCAUUUUCAGGACCUCACAUCUCCCACCUGUAGUUAGGUCAAUUAGCUUAGAUCAUAUAACAUUUUAAAAUAGUUCUCAUAUUGCAUUAUGUUGUAAAUUAGAUGCAGUUGGUAACGCACUAGAAUUCUUACUGUUAACAUAUGAGGAAACCUCCAUCGCCUUGAUUCCUUGGCACAAAUCACCAGGACCCGGAAUGUUAUCCCCUCUCUAAAAGAAAGGAGAGUUUCAAACAUUAAUUUUCCAUAUUGCUAUCAUAUUAAUAAGAGCUAUAAAUAAAAAUUAAAUUUAAGAAUUACAGCGUGGAAAAAUCUCUACAUUCCUACAUAUUUAAAUGUUAGGAAAUAUUUCUGGAAGUAAUUUCUGGAGGUAUUUUGCUACAUUAUCGGGUUGUCAAGAUGACGAAUUUCCACUUAAUAUUUAAUUCUAUUAUUUCUCAAUUGUUCCCUCACGCCCAUCCUCAUUCCCCAGUGACUUACUUUGAAUUCUAACUUGCCACAUUACCUAGUGGUGGUGGUAUGUUAGGUGUAUUCCUUACCUUUUCUGAACUUAUUUAUGAAUCUGCAAAGUGGGGGAAAUGACAUCUCCGCCUGUCUGAGAAGAAAGGGUAAGCUUUCAUUUUAACGUGAAUGUAAAUAAAGCUUUUGGACCAACAUUUAAAUGUAGAAAGGCACUACACUAUAGCCCUGAUUUAUGAAUCAGAUCUUAGCUACUUAUUCCUAGGUUAGUUCUUCAUAAGAGUUCUUAGACACUUUCCGACGUUAAUAAGAACUUGAGAUGUAUCGUUCUGAAACAUUGAAGGAUUUUCUACCCAUGUUUGAAAGAAGGACUGUUUACGGAUUACAGUUUUCUGUUACUAAUAAUAUUAUCUUUUUUCAUCACAGGACAGGGACUACAGAAAUACAGAUUAAGAUUCAAAUUUCUUUUUUUUUUUUUUGCUUUCAUUUUUAAAUUUAAAACAAUUAUUUAUAGUUGAUUUACAAUGUUCUGUCAACUUCUACUGUACAGCAAAGUGAUUCAUUUAUACAUAUAUAUGUUCUUUUGCAUAUUCCUUUCCAUUGUGGUUUAUCACAGGAUGUUAAAUAUAGUUCCCUGGGCUAUACAGUAGGACCUUGUUGUUUAUCCAUCCUUUUAAAAUAGUCUGCCUCUGCUAAUUCCAACUCCCAAUCCUUUCCUCCUCUUCCCACCCUGGCAGCCGCAAGUCUGUUCUCUAUAACUGUGAGUCUGUUUCAUAGAUAUGUUCAUUUGUGUCAUAUUUUAGUUUGUACCUAUAAGUGAUAUCAGAUGGCAUUUGUCUUUAUCUUUUUGACUUCCUUCACUUACUUAGACUCCAGUUUCAAUGAAGAAAUAAAUCAUAUUUAGCUUGGACCAUAGCUGUUGUCAUUUAAAAAAUGAUUUAUUUACAGAUAGCUUCUUAUAGUUGGGUUCAAUGAGUAUGAGUAAUUCUUGUGAUCCCAUCUAACAUAGUUUCUGACACUGUUAGCAGUCACCACUUAAGGGAAGUACAUCUUUCUGUGUUGUGACUACACAAAGUUAGCUGUGUUGUUGUGGCUGGGUUAUAGCCUAAUCAUGUGGCAGGAGUAGGAAGCAAGAAACACCUUAUAAUGAAGACAUUAGAUGGUAAACUUCCAAAGGGGAAAGAGGAUUAUCUCUUACUCAUUGUCUGCCUCCCACAAACACAUAAGUCACUGUCUUAUAGAUAUUCGGUCUUUUAGGAAUUCAAACAUGGAAUUUGCUAGUUCGAAUAAGUUCAGAGGUCGUAAAACUGAUUUUACUUUGGUGGUGAACGAUAAUGCUUUGACCUCAGGGUGCAAGUACCCUUGAUAAACUCUCCUAAAUUGUAAAAGCUUUGAAGUCAGAGCACUUUUAAGAUACACAACAUCUUAGACUGAAGAUGAUUCAGUAAGAUCUCCACAUAAACUGGAAGGCAAACAUGUUUAACACAAAGUUGGUAAUCUGCAGUUCUUAUCAGCCAGCCAAAGAAAUUUAAGCAAACAUGAAAAAAAAUACAGACACCCUUAGUUUUAAGGUUUCUGCACAAUGUGUAGAACCAUUUUGUCACUGUGCAAUCAAUACUCAUGAGUAAACGUAGGCCUGGCAUGUGGCAGGAGAUAAAUAAAUGGUGACUCAGGAGUUCCCAUUGUGGCACAGCGGAAACAAAUCCAACUAGGAACCAUGAGGUUGCAGGUUCGAUCCCUGGCCUUGCUCAGUGGGUUAAGGAUCUGGCAUUACUGUGAGCUGUGGUGUAGGUUGCAGAUGUGGCUCGGAUCCUGCGUUGCUCUGGCUGUGGUGUAGGCCGGUAGCUGUAGCUCCCAUUCGACCCCUAGCCUGGGAACCUCCAUAUGCCAUGGGUGUGGCCCUAAAAAGACAAAAGACCAAAUAAAUAAAUAAAUAAAUAAAUAAAUAGUGACUCCUAUCAUUAUUGUUAGGUGUCUUCCCAAAAGUCUAUUUUAAGAAGAGAAUCAUUAUUGCCAUUAGUAGAAAAAAAUGGGGGAAAAUGUUCUCUUUGAGCACCUUGAUACACCUAUACUACAUGCAGAUACUGUCUACAGGUUCUUACAGGUUCUUUGUAUCAAAUACUUUCUGUUGAAAUCAGACUAAUAAUGUGACACUAGGCACCAGUGAGGUAACUGACGUGAUUUGAGCAGUAUGUUAUCAAAUGAACAGUGCCAGGAACCUCCAGCAUCUAGAUCAAGUCAUUAAAUUGACAAAAGCAUUUUUUCUCCUAUCAUCAGGAGCCCACAUUCGGGGUGCUGAUAAGCUUGCUGCCCCCUGGAUGUUUGUAUUCAUCAACCAGGCUGGGCUUCCGGGAAUGUGAGAGGUAUCGCUAGUUGUGUUACGUUGCGUUGACAGCAUUUUGUGUGAUUUGUUCCAUAUCUCUAGUGGUCUGAGGAGGGAUUAUGUUUCAAGCCUUCCAGUGCACGUAAGAUGUCAUGAAAUAUAUUGUUGACUCUAUUGCACUGUCAGCGUGGGGCUACAGACCCACAGUCUGACUUCUGAAGAUUGAGGUUAUACACUAGCUUGCUCGAGAGAAACCCUAUAUGUGCCUAAAGAUCUCUAAAGAUGAUAUAGAGCUUAAAGCACCAAAGGAAUGUUUCUAUAUUGCAAUGUGAUCUAUAAUGAUAUAUGUGCCAGACUAAAAACUAGCAAAUGAGAUUUCGGUGGUAAUCUAAACUUCGGGAAAAGCUAGAGACAGUCACAAAUAAUGGUCCUAUGUGUUAAUUUGAAAUGCAAGCCAUACUCCCCACAUCAGUCGACAUUUCUGCCUUUAAUUAAGAGAAGUAUGAUAUAAAAUGCAAUUAGGAUGCAUAAUAGACAAAUAGACCAAUGAUGAAACAGAAUAGAAAGCAUAGAAGUAGACUCAAAUAUACAUGGGAAUUCAGGUUAUAAUGAACAGCUCAGAUCAGUGGAGUAAAAAUGGACUAUUUUAAUAAAUAGUUAUCCUUUGGAGAAAAUUCAAAACUAUUUGUGAAAAAGACAAAGUUGGAUCCUUUCUAUUGUAGAUCAAGGUAAAUAAAUAAAAUAUUUAAAUGUAAAAAAGGAAACCAUAGCAGUACUAGAAGAAAGUAUAGGUUCAUUUUUUAAAAUAACAUCAGACUGGAAAAAAAUCUUUCUAACUACAGAAGUUAGAAAAGUAGACAACUUUUGCUACAUACAAAUAGAAAAUAAGGAGGUCCUAUUGUGGCUCAGUGGGUUACGAACCCUACUAGUAUCCAGAAGGAUAUGUGUUUUGAUCCCCAGCCUCGCUCAGUGGGUUAAGGAUCUUGCAUUGCUGUGGCUGUGGUGUAGGCCAGCAGCUGCAGCUCCAGUUGAACCUCUAGCCUGGGAACUUCCAUAUGCCGUGGGUGUGGUCCUGAAGACCAAAAAGUAAAAUAAAAGUGCCUUGUCAAGAUAAAAACAAAAAACAAAUUUCCAUAAGCAGUCAAAAGACAAAUAUCAAGUUAGGGAAUAGUAUCUACAACUCAUAUUAAAUAAAAGGGUUAAUCUUCACAAUAUAUAAAGAGCCAGUAGAAAUUGAGAUGAAAUUGUUCAAUAACACUAUAGAAAAAAAUGAGCAAGCUUUUUACAUACAGUUCAUAGAAAAAAGAAACAUAACUACAUUAAAAAUAUGAAAAGAUAAACCUUAUUCAUAGUAAGAGAUGUGUAAAGUGAAAUUAGACAUCUUUUCUCACUUCUUAGGUUGG
Molecule: long non-coding RNA, 6505 nt
Filed under: Sus scrofa (pig)
Lineage: Eukaryota; Metazoa; Chordata; Mammalia; Artiodactyla; Suidae
Description: lncRNA (ENSSSCG00000061095.1)
Source: RNAcentral